Marmota flaviventris (yellow-bellied marmot) is the source of this 348-nucleotide non-coding RNA. The record is from RefSeq and is a predicted model, not a curated record. NCBI's taxonomy places the organism in Eukaryota, Metazoa, Chordata, Mammalia, Rodentia, Sciuridae.
AAGGGAACUCCUGGUAACCAGACAAGGCUGAGAAGCUGCUCGUGACAGUUGGCGUAGUCGGCAGGAUACGGAAGAAGAGCUCCGGAGCAGAGACCAUGAAGCGAAAGGCACUAAGAAAAUUAAAUCCAAGAAGGAGAAGGACGGCAAGAUCGAGGAAUUAUUCUGAACAGUUGCACUAUGCAAAUUGUCAUCUUUGCAUCGAAUUUCAUAAUUUCUUGAGGAACUAUGUCUGUGGACCAGAUAAUCAUCAGACGGAUAUUAGGACGCAAAUUGAGGAACGACCUGUUGUUCCGGAAGGAUCGCAUGACUCCAAUUCCGAUGUUCUUGGAAAAAGAUGUUGACUAUCCA